This 463-nucleotide ribosomal RNA is filed under the name uncultured bacterium. Its description in RNAcentral is "partial 16S ribosomal RNA". It matches the Rfam family "Bacterial small subunit ribosomal RNA", at positions 29 to 507 of the family's 1533-position model. The record is from RNAcentral.
AUUGAACGCUGGCAGAAGGCUUAACACAUGCAAGUCUUUGGGGAAACGGUAGCUGGACAGCGUAUUCAACGGCGGAGGGGGAGUAACUGGUUAGGAACUUGCCUGGCAGUCGGGGAUAACAGCCGGAAACGGGCGAUAAUACCGCGUAAAGCCAGGCGGAGUCAGUUGGAGAUUUUUGAAAAGCACUGCUGCAGGAGAGCCUAGCGUCCUAUAAGCAUGUUGGGGGGGUAACGGCCACCCAGGGCGAUGAUAGGUAGCGGGCCUGAGGGGGUGGACGGCCACAAGGGGACUGAGAGACGGCCCUUACUACUACGGGAGGCAGCAGUGGGGAAUAUUGGACACUGGGGGCAACCCUGAUCCAGCAAUUCUGUGUGCACGAUGAAGGUUUUCGGAUUGUAAAGUGCUUUCAGCAGGGAAGAAAAAAAUGACGGUACCUGCAGAAGAAGCGACGGCUAAAUACGUG